UUCGCAAUGCCCGAAAGGGUGACGAAGCGACGCCGCGUGGAUGAAGAAGGCCUUCGGGUUGUAAAAUCCUGUCAGGAGUUAAGAAAUGUAGGUGCGAUAAUACCGUGCCUAUUUGACAAAGGCUCCAAAGGAAGCCCCGGCUAACUUUGUGCCAGCAGCCGCGGUAAUACAGAGGUGGCAAGCGUUGUUUGGAAUUAUUGGGCGUAAAGAGCACGUAGGUGGAUUUGUUAGUCAGAUGUGAAAGCCUUUCGUUCAACGGAAGAAUUGCAUCUGAAACUACAAACCUUGAGUAUAGGAGGGGAGAGUGGAACUUCUGGUGGAGCGGUGAAAUGCGUAGAUAUCAGAAGGAACGCCGGCGGCGAAAGCGACUCUCUGGCCUAUAACUGACACUGAGUGUGCGAAAGCUAGGGGAGCAAACGGGAUUAGAUACCCCGGUAGUCCUAGCCGUAAACGAUGGGCCCUAAGUAGAGGGGUUUU
This 477-nucleotide ribosomal RNA is filed under the name uncultured anaerobic ammonium-oxidizing bacterium. Its description in RNAcentral is "bacterial SSU rRNA". It matches the Rfam family "Bacterial small subunit ribosomal RNA", at positions 365 to 832 of the family's 1533-position model. The record is from RNAcentral.